RNAcentral lists this ribosomal RNA (406 nucleotides) under uncultured bacterium. Its description in RNAcentral is "partial 16S ribosomal RNA". It matches the Rfam family "Bacterial small subunit ribosomal RNA", at positions 29 to 526 of the family's 1533-position model. The record is from RNAcentral.
AUUGAACGCUGGCGGCAGGCCUAACACAUGCAAGUCGAACGAGUGGCGGACGGGUGAGUAAUGUCUGGGAAACUGCCCGAUGGAGGGGGAUAACUACUGGAAACGGUAGCUAAUACCGCAUACCAUCGGAUGUGCCCAGAUGGGAUUAGCUAGUAGGUGGGGUAACGGCUCACCUAGGCGACGAUCCCUAGCUGGUCUGAGAGGAUGACAAGCCACACGGGAAAGGAGACACGGUCCAGACUCCGACGGGAGGCAGCAGGGGGGAAUAUUGCACGAUGGGCGCAAGCCUGAUGAAGCGAUGCCGGGUGGAGGAAGAGGGCCAUAGGGUUGUAAAGUACUUUCAGCGUGGAGACGUUACCCGCAGAAGAGGCACCGGCUGACUCCGUGCCAGCAGCCGCGGUAAUAC